AGGAUCCUGCUGUCGAAACAGCAGAGGAAGCUAAGGAACCAGCAGAAGCAGACAUCAAUGAGCUCUGUAAAGAUAUGUUCAGCAAAAUGGCCACUUACUUAACAGGUGAACUGACAGCCACCAGUGAAGACUACAAGCUCUUGGAAAACAUGAACAAGUUGACGAGCUUGAAGUACCUAGAAAUGAAAGAUAUUGCUAUAAACAUCAGUAGAAAUCUGAAGGAUUUAAAUCAAAAAUAUGCUGCUCUUCAGCCAUAUCUGGAACAAAUCAACCUAAUUGAGGAGCAGGUUGCAGCUCUGGAACAGGCAGCUUAUAAAUUGGAUGCAUAUUCCAAAAAACUUGAAGCCAAGUACAAAAAACUGGAGAAACGAUGAAACUGCAACUGUCUUUUCAAGUUGGAGUUGGGCUGUGGGUCAAACUGAUCUCUGAGUUGCACAACAUCGGUUUUAUAUGUUGACAAGGAUUUGGUAACAGCUAACAUAAGACUGCAAUCAGACGGUGUGGCAGAGAGUCCUGUUUCCGCAGCAUUUCAUGCACCUGUGAUUGUACAAGAGGUAACCUGCCAAUCAAAUACUGGAUACAGAAUGGAACGUGACACAGACAGGCUCCAUACUGUAAUGGCAGCGUGCUGGCAGUUAUGUGCAAGUCAGCUCCGUUAUCAGAUGUGUACCAUGUUAUCAGACCUUGUGGAGGCAAACCAAGUUGGGUACAGAACUGAAUACAGAUUUGCAAGAUGGCCACAAGAGGGUGAUGUUUCAGCAGAGAAAACUUCCGUAAGAUAAAGCAGUUAAGAGAAAGAACCAGUAUUCUGUUAAAACUAUUGCUUUUCUACUUGAAGAAAAAGCUGUGCUGUUUUAAAAUUACAAAGGUGGAAAACUCCAGGAACUCUGAAGAUGGGAAACCAUCUAGCUAUAUGUUGCACUUAGUGUUUUCAAGUAGAAGAGUUAAGACAUAGUAAACUGUUCCACAAUCUCCUGAGUAUUGCACCUGCAGGAGGCAGAGACUGGAGAUGCCUCACAAGUAACUCUUAAUUGGGAGAAAAUUUUAGAGAAUGAGCACCUGAGUGAUUAUGUGAUGAUGGCAUCCCAAUUACACCAGGAGCUGGCAACUGUGUUCUCAGUUUUGUCUUUAAGUAACCAUUCUCCUCUCUGUCUGCGGGCUCUCUGUGUGAGUGGUGGAGUCCAAGUCAUGGCAGGUUUGGCAGGUCUUUGAAAAGCAGCACCACAGAAGAGACAUGGUGAAAUUCCUUUGAACAGCAUAUUGCUAGCAAAAUGUGUAGUCUAAAAGGUUGCUGCUCAAACAUUUUGCCUGGAAAGUCCAUGAGACAUCCCAGAGGAAGCACAGGGAGAUGGUAAACCUUACUCUCUUCUCUUCUGUGGCAUUUCCUGGUGCAAAAGAUAAUAAGAAAAUAGUAGGUGCUUGAAGGAAGAACAUGGAAGAUCACAGAGGAAAGAGGGUUGACAGGUGAGAAUCAAGGGACAAAGUAUUUCAUUAAGGUGAUCUGUGCAACUGCUUUGAAGCUGAAAGCAGAUCUUGACAAGUUGAACUGCAACUGCAAACCGGGGAUAAAACUUAGCCUAGUAAAUACAGCAAACAUGGCAGAAGUUAUCCAGUAUUGGCCUAUAGCUAAAUAUAUUAUGUGUGCAGUGUUGUACCUGGUGGCAAACAUGCAAGAAAAAAACGUAAUAAGUAGAGAACAAACAUUCGAUGAACGUAUGAUGAGUUUUGUUAAUGGGAGAUUUGUUAAUGAUUAAUGUUUGUCCCUGCUUUCUGGUAUUAGGGUAGAAUAAAAUGGAACCUUGACAGAGGUCACACACACAGAAAAAAAAAUAAAUAAAGCAGUUCAUCCAAGUU
Meleagris gallopavo (turkey) is the source of this 1854-nucleotide non-coding RNA. NCBI's taxonomy places the organism in Eukaryota, Metazoa, Chordata, Aves, Galliformes, Phasianidae. The record is from RefSeq and is a predicted model, not a curated record.